CCAGAGGGCCCGGCCGGGUGCGGGCACUGCGGAGGAGUCGGGCCGGGCCGGGGAUUUGUGGGGUGGCGAGGCGAGCAGAGGCCCCCCCCCCCGUAGGGGAAAGGCAGCUCGUUCUUUCUGGGCAGGUUUCUUGGCCCUGCAUCUACGUAAACGCCUUCUGCCUUCACCGAAUCUGGGGUUGGAGCCAGCGCUUCUCCCCGCUGCCGGGGCAGAGGGAGCCCCGAGCGUCCCCCGGCUCGCCGUGGUGCUGGGUGCCCCGCUCCCCGUCCUGGCCGCUCGGGCGGCCCGCCGCCGGCUGGCAGGGGGCCGGGGGCCGUGGGCAGCGCUCUCUGAAAACCUCUGCUAGGCUUAGGUUGCAAGACAAUAUGAUGUCUCAAAAAUAGAAUCGGAGUAGAGCCUAAACCUUCAGCCUGCUAGUGACCAUUGCUGUUCAGUACCACGUGCACCCUGGUCUUGCAAAGAGCUGUGCCUUAGAGUGUUACCUUGCAAAGUCAGAUCCACAGACUCUAAAAUUCUGGAGACAGAGAGGUAUGUUCUGAGUGGUAACAGCAAAACUGUAGACAUUGUAGCAAAUUUACGUGUUUGUUGUGUCCAUCCUCCCGCCCCGCCACCACACAAGGACAACUGCCUUCCUUAUCGAGAGAGUUGCAAGUCUUUGCUGUGUCUGAAGGAAGAAAAAUAAG
This 683-nucleotide long non-coding RNA is filed under the name Accipiter nisus (Eurasian sparrowhawk). RNAcentral's name for it is "lncRNA (ENSANIG00000001318.1)". The record is from RNAcentral. Lineage: Eukaryota; Metazoa; Chordata; Aves; Accipitriformes; Accipitridae.